RNAcentral lists this ribosomal RNA (465 nucleotides) under uncultured bacterium. RNAcentral's name for it is "bacterial SSU rRNA". It matches the Rfam family "Bacterial small subunit ribosomal RNA", at positions 338 to 795 of the family's 1533-position model. The record is from RNAcentral.
CCUACGGGUGGCAGCAGUGGGGAAUUUUGGACAAUGGGCGCAAGCCUGAUCCAGCCAUGCCGCGUGCGGGAAGAAGGCCUUCGGGUUGUAAACCGCUUUUGUCAGGGAAGAAACGGUCUGGGUUAAUACCUCGGACUAAUGACGGUACCUGAAGAAUAAGCACCGGCUAACUACGUGCCAGCAGCCGCGGUAAUACGUAGGGUGCAAGCGUUAAUCGGAAUUACUGGGCGUAAAGCGUGCGCAGGCGGCUUUGCAAGACAGAUGUGAAAUCCCCGGGCUCAACCUGGGAACUGCAUUUGUGACUGCAAGGCUGGAGUGCGGCAGAGGGGGAUGGAAUUCCGCGUGUAGCAGUGAAAUGCGUAGAUAUGCGGAGGAACACCGAUGGCGAAGGCAAUCCCCUGGGCCUGCACUGACGCUCAUGCACGAAAGCGUGGGGAGCAAACAGGAUUAGAUACCCCGGUAGUC